CUACACGUGAAGUACUUGGAACAGCGACUGGCAGACCCCGCGGUCAGCCCAUCAGUCACCAAGAUUCAGCAGUCAGCCCCUCAGUCACCAGCACGGACAGGUUGCUGCCACUUUGGGGAGUCGCCAGCCUGUGGAAAACACCUUUUCUUCCCAGCUCACAAGGCAAACGGGAGGUAAAGAUAAACUUGGAUGAAAACUUGGAUGAAAACUUGGAUGAAAACUUGGACGAAAGCUGACGAUCUGAUAUGGGCGAAUCACUGGAGCCGGCUGAGCAAAACUUGGAGAUGGUGAUUGUGUGUGAGGGUGUGUUGGGG
Molecule: long non-coding RNA, 314 nt
Organism: Bos taurus (domestic cattle)
Lineage: Eukaryota; Metazoa; Chordata; Mammalia; Artiodactyla; Bovidae
Source: Ensembl